This 1161-nucleotide long non-coding RNA is filed under the name Heterocephalus glaber (naked mole-rat). RNAcentral's name for it is "lncRNA (ENSHGLG00000038091.1)". The record is from RNAcentral. Lineage: Eukaryota; Metazoa; Chordata; Mammalia; Rodentia; Bathyergidae.
GCCUCUUUGUCCUGAUCCAUCAUUGGUGAUUAGCUGGAAAAAUCACUCAGUAAUCUGAGAUGUUUGAGCCAAAGGAGAGAUCAAUAGGGAGGCAGCUACCAGCAAUUACCAAUUGCCUGGUACAUUUUUUAUUUAUCAGAGCAAGCGAGUUGAGAUGCCUGCAGGAUAACUGGUCCUGGCUUGAGAAACACAAAUGAGGAAAGGGAGAGAAGAGACCGUUCUGAUCCUGUUUUGAAAUGACUUUUUCCAUUUCACUCUUAGAGCAUCAAGGCACAGCCUGCUAUGGGCCACUCAUCAGAGGACAGAAAGACCAACCUGCCAUCCUGGCACAGCUUGAGAACAGUGAGCUCCUGUGCAUGCCUCAAAAUGCCAGUUAAACUGAAAUCUUCAUGUUCUCCAGAUGCAGCCCUUUGAGAGUCACAUAAGAAAUAUUUCCUGAAACCAAGAGGUGCCUGGCAUGAGGUGAAGUCUUCAAUUAUCUCAUCUAAUUUGAACGUGAAACAAUUCUGAAAGAGAAUGCUGGCUAUUUGUCUUCCAAGAGGAAGGAGGAUGAGUAUUCACUUGGAUUUCUUCUUAAAUACUGAAGCUGAAUGUGAAGAACCAAUUCCAGGGCUAAAAUUGGUCUCUGGGAAGAGGAAGUGCUGUUUCUGCCAUGGCCAUCCCAAGUCCAUUACGCAUGCCAGAGCAACAACAAUAUUCAUUACCAACCUGCCUCCCCACAAACUAAAGGAACUACAUGAUCACACCUGCAACACAUCCUUCUCAUUCCUGAGAAGGGCUAGGUGAUGCAGAUGGAAGUGGAAUUCCACAGCAUCACUUCCUUUGUAGACCAUUAAAAUGCAACAGAUGCCAUUCUCACUGAAAUGUUUGUGGAAAAGUUCAAGCAGUUUUCAAAGUAUUGAUAUGGACCAGUGACAUCAAUACCAUCCAAGAACUUGCUGGAAUGAAAAGUGGGGGAACCUCUCUUCCAACGUAGAGUCAGAAACUCUAUGCAUGGGACCAAAAAAUCUUCAUAACAAGUCUAAGAUGACUGAGAUGUGCUCCCAGCUGAGAAGGACCUCACAGCGCGGAACCGCCUUCUGUCUGACUCUUAUAAUUUUUUUGAAAGACAAUGGAUGUCAAUAACACUUAGAAACCACCACCCCAUUGCCAACUUUGUAU